Molecule: ribosomal RNA, 119 nt
Filed under: Anolis carolinensis (green anole)
Lineage: Eukaryota; Metazoa; Chordata; Lepidosauria; Squamata; Anolidae
Source: RNAcentral
AGUGAAGGCCUAAAUACUCUGAAGAUACUAGAUCCCAUCUGAUCUUGGAAGCUAAAAAGAGACAGGUCUGGUUAGUACUUGGAUGAGAGACCACCAAAAAGUAAUAGAUGCUGUAGCCU